This 419-nucleotide long non-coding RNA is filed under the name Rattus norvegicus (Norway rat). RNAcentral's name for it is "long non-coding RNA NONRATT007571". The record is from RNAcentral. Lineage: Eukaryota; Metazoa; Chordata; Mammalia; Rodentia; Muridae.
GCGACUCUGGCUUCGGUUCGUGAUCCUCCUCUCUGGCUCCGGGCUGCGUGCAGUGUCUGGGUGGCGAUCGAAGGGUGCCUGCGAUCUUCUGCCUCGGGGACCCGGCUGUCUUCCUUGUGCUAAAAAAACCUAAGGGAGAAAGAAUCAAGGAUCUCUCCUGCAUCCGGACCUGAAGAUGAAGGGUUGUAAUCCCGGCUUCUCAGGAGGACAACUCGGGAGCAGUUCCAGGACACCCUGGACAACUUGGAGACUCUCAAAACCAAAACAAAUCGAAAGGAAUGGAAACUUCAAGGAGUCACAGCGCAGUGUGUGACCUACUCAGCGUAGGCAGGUCCCAUGCCCUGGCACCCAGUAGGUAGGUCUCCUUAAUGGGUCCCCUUUCUUAGCAUCCAAUACUGGCAAGAGAAACAAAGCCCCCC